RNAcentral lists this long non-coding RNA (1653 nucleotides) under Anas platyrhynchos platyrhynchos (common mallard). Its description in RNAcentral is "lncRNA (ENSAPLG00000028289.1)". The record is from RNAcentral. Lineage: Eukaryota; Metazoa; Chordata; Aves; Anseriformes; Anatidae.
CGGUGGCGGUGCCGGGGCGGGCAGCGGGCGGGCAGCAAUGCGGCAGCUCGGGGCAGGAUUUGCGGAGCGUUCCCCGAGACAAAGGCAGGUGGCUCCCAGCUGGGUUUUCAAUAAUUCCGCAGCUUUUCCUUUCGCAGGAAAUGGCUCCCGUGCCGCAGGGGGUCACCCGCCCGUGGCUGCCCCCCAGGAGCUUUGUGCGAACCCAACCCAGCGGCUCGCAGGGUGCUGGCGGUGCUGGGCUGCGGCCCUGCCCCUGCCCCUGCCCCUGCCCCUGCCCUGCCCGGGGAGGGCUCGGCCCCACCAGGGCCUGGUGCUGGUCCCGCUGGGCACGGUGUGGGUGUGGGGAUGUUUUCUGGCAGCGGGUCCUGCCUGGGCUGGUGGCUCCCGUGGGGGCAGGCAGCAGCCAGAGGCUGACCCCGCUGGGGUUUGCAGGGGGAGCCCGGCAGAGCGGGGCUGUGCCUGGUGCCCAGUGCCCGGCUCAGGGCUGGUGUGUGGAGGGAGUGCUGGGAGGACUGGGAGUGCUGGGAGGGCUCAGCCUGGUGCUGGUGGUGCCUUCGGAGGUGUGAGGCCGGGGGUGGCCGUGCCAUGCUCCACGUGGUGCCGUGGCUCACGCUCCCCUGGCUGGACCCAGUGCUGUGCUUGUGGCACCCGUCGUGGCUCCGUGCUGGAGAGCUCAGGGCUGGUGGGGCUGUGAAUCCCCUGUCCCUGCCCUGCGGGGUCACUGCUGUGUCCCGUGGCUGAGAGGAGUGGGGCGUGCAGCGCAUGGUGCCCCGUGCCGGUGCCUGAUGCGGGUGCUCUCUCCCCUCUCUCCCUCCUCUCCCUCCUCUCCCCUGUCCGCAGUGCUCAUGGAGUGCUGUGUGCGGCUCUGCCCCGCUCUCGGCAGCGGGACCGGCUCCACGCUGGGCACUGCCACCCCCUGUGCCCACCGAGGGAAUGGGACAGGCGAGUGCUGCCGGACAGAUCCGCAGCAAGGAGCUGGCGUGGGGCAGUUGCCGACACCGAAAGCCACGACGUGGCUGCAGACGGAGGCUGAGCUGCUCCCCUUCCCUGGUACCCCCCCCGGGACUGCUGAGCCCCCCAGCACGGAGCGAGGGGGCUGGACCAGCAGCGAGGGGACAGGGCCCACAGGGGGGCACGGAGCAGGCACUGGGGCAGGGCCCCCUCUGGCCACCGGUGCUGCCAAGGCAGCUGCAGGCAGCCAGGGGCCGUCUCCUGCCAGCCUGGGGAGGGGCCUUGGUGGGGGCCCCUCCGCAGCCCCCAUGGAACUGGACACAGCUCCAACCACCAGCCCUUCCCUCCGGACUGAGCCUGUAGGAGAUGAGAUGGUGGAAGGUGCCACAGCCCCGCUGGGGACCCUCCUGCAUUCACCAUCCUCUGUGACGGUGCCCAGCCCCGCUGGGGAGCACUGGGAGACCCCCAGUGCCCUGCCAGGACAGAGCCCCACACAGAGCCAGGGGGGCUCACACAGCUCCUUGCACCCAGAGCCGGGGGCCAGGGGGGGCCUGGGUGCCACCGCCCCGCUGGGUGACAGCAGCCCAGGGACGCACCAGAGCAGCGCAGCGGCCACGGGCAGCCCUGGGCCAGGGACAACGGGGACAUCGCCCUCUGGGGGGGGGGUACAGAGGUUACUGAGCUCCCUGGGGACACUGCGGG